RNAcentral lists this ribosomal RNA (357 nucleotides) under Triticum aestivum (bread wheat). RNAcentral describes it as "partial small subunit ribosomal RNA". The record is from RNAcentral. Lineage: Eukaryota; Viridiplantae; Streptophyta; Magnoliopsida; Poales; Poaceae.
GGUGAUUUUAACAAGAUCUUGUAUUCUUAUGAAAAGGAGGGUGGUAACAUGAGUCUUAUUAAAUUGAUGGAGGAUUUCAAGAAGGUACUAGUUGACUGUGGGUUAGAGGACCUUGGUUACUCAGGAGAUAUGUUCACCUGGUGCAGAGGUCACAAUAAGGAACGUCUUCAUUGUGCUGUAGGGAAUGGAUUGUGGCAAAGUCUAUUUCCUGUGGCUACGGUAACAAAUGGAGAUCAUUGCAAGUUCGACCACCCUCUGCUUAUAAUUUAUCUAGAGCCGUUUGAUGCUCCAAUCCUUCGGUCAAGUGGAUGCAAGAAGUUUGAAGCUCGGUUGGUCACAAGAAAAAUUGAUGCAUGA